UAUAAGACUGGGAUAACUUCGGGAAACCGGAGCUAAUGCCGGAUAACAUUUGGAACCGCAUGGUUCUAAAGUGAAAGAUGGUUUUGCUAUCACUUAUAGAUGGACCCGCGCCGUAUUAGCUAGUUGGUAAGGUAACGGCUUACCAAGGCAACGAUACGUAGCCGACCUGAGAGGGUGAUCGGCCACACUGGAACUGAGACACGGUCCAGACUCCUACGGGAGGCAGCAGUAGGGAAUCUUCCGCAAUGGACGAAAGUCUGACGGAGCAACGCCGCGUGAGUGAUGAAGGUUUUCGGAUCGUAAAACUCUGUUAUUAGGGAAGAACAAAUGUGUAAGUAACUGUGCACAUCUUGACGGUACCUAAUCAGAAAGCCACGGCUAACUACGUGCCAGCAGCCGCGGUAAUACGUAGGUGGCAAGCGUUAUCCGGAAUUAUUGGGCGUAAAGCGCGCGUAGGCGGUUUCUUAAGUCUGAUGUGAAAGCCCACGGCUCAACCGUGGAGGGUCAUUGGAAACUGGGAAACUUGAGUACAGAAGAGGAAAGUGGAAUUCCAUGUGUAGCGGUGAAAUGCGCAGAGAUAUGGAGGAACACCAGUGGCGAAGGCGACUUUCUGGUCUGUAACUGACGCUGAUGUGCGGAAGCGUGGGGAUCAAACAGGAUUAGAUACCCUGGUAGUCCACGCCGUAAACGAUGAGUGCUAAGUGUUAGGGGGUUUCCGCCCCUUAGUGCUGCAGCUAACGCAUUAAGCACUCCGCCUGGGGAGUACGACCGCAAGGUUGAAACUCAAG
This 788-nucleotide ribosomal RNA is filed under the name uncultured Staphylococcus sp. Its description in RNAcentral is "bacterial SSU rRNA". It matches the Rfam family "Bacterial small subunit ribosomal RNA", at positions 131 to 905 of the family's 1533-position model. The record is from RNAcentral. Lineage: Bacteria; Bacillati; Bacillota; Bacilli; Caryophanales; Staphylococcaceae.